CAGGAUGAACGCUGGCGGCGUGCCUAAUACAUGCAAGUCGAGCGAACAGAUGAGAAGCUUGCUUCUCUGAUGUUAGCGGCGGACGGGUGAGUAACACGUGGGUAACCUACCUAUAAGACUGGGAUAACUCCGGGAAACCGGGGCUAAUACCGGAUAAUAUUUUGAACCGCAUGGUUCAAUAGUGAAAGACGGUUUCGGCUGUCACUUAUAGAUGGACCCGCGCCGUAUUAGCUAGUUGGUAAGGUAACGGCUUACCAAGGCGACGAUACGUAGCCGACCUGAGAGGGUGAUCGGCCACACUGGAACUGAGACACGGUCCAGACUCCUACGGGAGGCAGCAGUAGGGAAUCUUCCGCAAUGGGCGAAAGCCUGACGGAGCAACGCCGCGUGAGUGAUGAAGGUCUUCGGAUCGUAAAACUCUGUUGUUAGGGAAGAACAAAUUUGUUAGUAACUGAACAAGUCUUGACGGUACCUAACCAGAAAGCCACGGCUAACUACGUGCCAGCAGCCGCGGUAAUACGUAGGUGGCAAGCGUUAUCCGGAAUUAUUGGGCGUAAAGCGCGCGUAGGCGGUUUCUUAAGUCUGAUGUGAAAGCCCACGGCUCAACCGUGGAGGGUCAUUGGAAACUGGGAAACUUGAGUGCAGAAGAGGAGAGUGGAAUUCCAUGUGUAGCGGUGAAAUGCGCAGAGAUAUGGAGGAACACCAGUGGCGAAGGCGGCUCUCUGGUCUGUAACUGACGCUGAUGUGCGAAAGCGUGGGGAUCAAACAGGAUUAGAUACCCUGGUAGUCCACGCCGUAAACGAUGAGUGCUAAGUGUUAGGGGGUUUCCGCCCCUUAGUGCUGCAGCUAACGCA
RNAcentral lists this ribosomal RNA (854 nucleotides) under Staphylococcus sp. RNAcentral describes it as "bacterial SSU rRNA". It matches the Rfam family "Bacterial small subunit ribosomal RNA", at positions 25 to 859 of the family's 1533-position model. The record is from RNAcentral. Lineage: Bacteria; Bacillati; Bacillota; Bacilli; Caryophanales; Staphylococcaceae.